UGGAGUCUCACUCUGUCUCCCAGGCUGGAGUGCAGUGGCAGGAUCUCGGCUCACUGCAAGCUCCGCCUCCCGGGCUCACACCAUUCUCCUGCCUCAGCCUCCCAAGUAGCUGGGACUACAGGCGCCCGCCACCACGCCCGGAGAAUUUUUUGUAUUUUUAGUAGAGACGGGGUUUCACCGUGUUAGCCAGGAUGGUCUCGAUCUGCUGACCUUGUGAUCCACCCGCCUCGGCCUCCCAAAGUGCUGGGAUUACAGGUGUGAGCCACCGCACCUGGCCAAUUUUUGCUUAUUUUUCCUCAAAGGGAGGAAAACUGACAGGUUGCUUUAAGAGCUGAGUGAUUGAGAGUCCUUCUGAACAGGACUUCGGGAAUUUACUCCUAAUCUUUUCCCAUGGUUAACUUGUCUUCACUCUGUUUCUAGAACUCUGGUUUUUAUACUUGAGACUCUGUAGUCACUGUGGAAAGAGGUGUGACUGAUAAAGAACUGCCUUUAAAUACCUGAGUCCUCGUCAGCUUCUUCACUGCUACAACCUGGAGACCUCGUAAUUUGGUUGGGACGCAAAUUUGCAACUGGUAUUCUGCUCCAAAGAGGUUCUCCCCAUGUACCUGCAAAUUAAAAUCAGAGUAGGAAAUCAAAGCUGGUAUUGCUUUGCCAUC
This 656-nucleotide long non-coding RNA is filed under the name Homo sapiens (human). RNAcentral's name for it is "LHRI_LNC164.1". Lineage: Eukaryota; Metazoa; Chordata; Mammalia; Primates; Hominidae. The record is from RNAcentral.